RNAcentral lists this ribosomal RNA (468 nucleotides) under uncultured bacterium. RNAcentral's name for it is "partial 16S ribosomal RNA". It matches the Rfam family "Bacterial small subunit ribosomal RNA", at positions 28 to 507 of the family's 1533-position model. The record is from RNAcentral.
GACGAACGCUGGCGGCGUGCUUAACACAUGCAAGUCGAACGGAAAGGCCCUGCUUUUGUGGGGUGCUCGAGUGGCGAACGGGUGCGUAACACGUGAGUAACCUGCCCUUAACUUUGGUAUAACUUCAGGAAACUGGGGCUAAUACCGGAUAGGAGCUCCUGCUCCAUGGUGGGGGUUGGAACGUUUCGGCGGUUGGGGAUGGACUCGCGGCUUAUCAGCUUGUUGGUGGGGUAGUGGCUUACCAAGGCUUUGACGGGUAGCCGGCCUGAGAGGGUGACCGGCCACAUUGGGACUGAGAUACGGCCCAGACUCCUACGGGAGGCAGCAGUGGGGAAUAUUGCACAAUGGGCGGAAGCCUGAUGCAGCAACGCCGCGUGCGGGAUGACGGCCUUCGGGUUGUAAACCGCUUUCGCCUGUGACGAAGCGUGAGUGACGGUAAUGGGUAAAGAAGCACCGGCUAACUACGUG